This 1374-nucleotide ribosomal RNA is filed under the name Indothais lacera. Its description in RNAcentral is "16S ribosomal RNA". It matches the Rfam family "Bacterial large subunit ribosomal RNA", at positions 440 to 2761 of the family's 2925-position model. The record is from RNAcentral. Lineage: Eukaryota; Metazoa; Mollusca; Gastropoda; Neogastropoda; Muricidae.
UAAGUUGUUUUUACACAUAAUCUAAAAUAAUUAUAAAAACAUCCUAAUUAACUAAAAACAUUAAUAAAUUUAGUAAAGGUGAAAGAAACUUAUUUUUAUAAUAAAAGUACUGAGAAGGAACAAAUUAAAUUAAUUAAUAAAAAGAUUAAAUUUCUGUACCUUUUGCAUCAUGGUUUAACUAGAUUUAAAUUUUCUAGGAAAGUUCUCGAAAUCUAAUGGGCUAUUUUUGGUCAGCAUUAUUAGGUGCUUAAAAAGUAAUUGUAGCAAAAAUUUUUUUAGAACUAAAAAUAGAAAUGAAAUUUUAUCCGUAUUAGAUGAUAGCUAGUUCUUUUUUAAAAGUAUAGAAGUACUGCAAAUUUCUUAUGUUUAUAGAACACAUAUCUCUAACAUAAAUGGAAAUUUAGUGAGGCCUUUGAGGAUAAGCUCAAGGGCGUACAAAACUGUAUUUAAUGUUAAGUAGUUAAAUUUAGGCUUGAAAAUAGCCAUAAUGUGCGAUUUUGUUAUAAUUUCAUUACUUAUAUUUACAUAAAAUUAAUUUACUUUUAGUUUAGAAAAGAAAGUUUUUUAAUAUAAAAUAAACUAAACACAUGCUAAAAUGAGUAUUAAUUAAAUUAUAUAUUUUAUUAAAAUAAAAUUAUAAACUAAGUAAAAUAUUUUUAUUGCAAAUUGAUGAAAGGAACUCGGCAAAACUUAAUUCCGCCUGUUUAUCAAAAACAUGGCUCCAUGUUAUUGUUUUAUAUGGAGUCUGACCUGCUCGGUGAAUAUAUUUUUAACAGCCGCGGUACUCUGACCGUGCAAAGGUAGCAUAAUCAUUUGCCUUAUAAUUGAAGGCUAGUAUGAAUGGUUUGACGAGAAUUAAGCUGUCUCUUCUCAAUUAAAUAUAAUUUUAUUAACAGGUGAAGAAGCCUGUGUGUUAUUGAAAGACAAGAAGACCCUAUCGAGCUUUAAGGAAUUCAAUAGAUUUAUUAUAUAUUUAUAUAAAUAUAAAACUAUUGAAAACUUUGGUUGGGGCGACUGAGGAACAAAAAAAGCUUCCUUUAUAUCUUUAGAACCUACAAGUAUUGAUCCAAUAAAUUUGAUUAAAGGAAUUAGUUACCGUAGGGAUAACAGCAUAAUCUUCUUUGAGAGUUCUUAUCGAAAAGGAGGUUUGUGACCUCGAUGUUGGACCAGAAUACCCAGAAGAUGUAGCCGUCUUCAAUGGUUGGUCUGUUCGACCAUUAAAAUUCUACGUGAUCUGAGUUCAGACCGGCGUGAGCCAGGUCAGUUUCUAUCUUCAAUUUUUAUAGUAACCUUAGUACGAAAGGACCAGGCUAUUACAAGAACAAGUUGUUGAUUUAUGAUCAAAUAUAAAAAAUGAUUUAUUGUAUAGUUUAU